UUCAGCUGUGCUCUGCUACAAGUAUACAUUACUUCUUUCCCUGAAUUACAGCUACUUAGGUCUUUUUACAUCUUCUAAUAUUUAAGCUCCUUUGGGACAAUGGUCAUGACAAAGUUGACUUUCUUACAUGCAAAGUGCUCAAUGAAAAUCAAACCAAGACAAAGCAACCUUAUCCAAAUUGGAUUUGUUGUCAUAUCGACAGACUUCUCAUUAUAGUCAUUUCUGACAUCAUUGUUGUUAUUUGAAACUCUGAUGGUCCCUGUCUUGUUUAAAUCCUUUUUUUUUUUCCUCUUUUUUAAUGUGGGCAAGAAAUUCCAAACUUCUUUAGUUACCUCACUUUCUAUCUAAACUCUUAUAGAAAAAAUAUAACUUUGCCCUUUGUCACACUUAUUUUCUAAAUACAUUUAGUCAGCUCUUUCAAACUUAUUCCAAACACAAGGAGAGAAAGAGUGCAGGCCAUGUACGAAGGGCAAUGGGCCAAAUAUAUCACUGAAUGGUUAAGGUAAGAGCAAGAGGGAUGAGGAUAGGAUCAAAGCAAAGGAUGUAUAUGGAAGGCAAGUCCCCCAGAGAGUGGUUCUGAGAUAUCCCUGCCUAGAUGUUGGUUCCUUUA
This 610-nucleotide long non-coding RNA is filed under the name Bos taurus (domestic cattle). RNAcentral describes it as "long non-coding RNA NONBTAT017867". Lineage: Eukaryota; Metazoa; Chordata; Mammalia; Artiodactyla; Bovidae. The record is from RNAcentral.